This 253-nucleotide ribosomal RNA is filed under the name uncultured bacterium. Its description in RNAcentral is "partial 16S ribosomal RNA". It matches the Rfam family "Bacterial small subunit ribosomal RNA", at positions 524 to 776 of the family's 1533-position model. The record is from RNAcentral.
UACGGGGGGGGCAAGCGUUGUUCGGAAUUACUGGGCGUAAAGGGCUCGUAGGCGGCCAACUAAGUCAGACGUGAAAUCCCUCGGCUUAACCGGGGAACUGCGUCUGAUACUGGAUGGCUUGAGUUUGGGAGAGGGAUGCGGAAUUCCAGGUGUAGCGGUGAAAUGCGUAGAUAUCGAGAGGAACACCUGCGGCGAAGGCGGGUUGCUGGGCUGACACUGACGCUGAUGCGCGAAAGCUAGGGGAGCGAACGGG